This 1081-nucleotide long non-coding RNA is filed under the name Helianthus annuus (common sunflower). The record is from RNAcentral. Lineage: Eukaryota; Viridiplantae; Streptophyta; Magnoliopsida; Asterales; Asteraceae.
UGUUCCUUUCGAGUCAAAAUCAUACGAAAGGCAACUCGGUGAUAAAGAAGUCUCUCAAACUCACCAUUUCAUCUCCGGAAAACACUUCCAGUUAGUUAACAACGGUUGAUGGUAUUUCACGUUUGAUAACACUUCGACUGCUAAAAACGAUUUUCAGCGAACUGUUGAAGAAGAUGAUGUACCAGCAAGAUUAUUAUGGAUGUUCAUGAACUUGGUCGGCAUUGCUACAAUCGAUUAGGGUAUUGCUUUUGGAACAUUGCAAUCGUCUAAGACCAUUGGGUACGGGGCUCGUCCCCCCGCCCCACCCCUGCUCCGUCUCACCCCCCUGCUCCGUCUCCUCCGUCCAGAUUCCGACGCUGGCGACGACCCACUCUCCCACACACACACCUCUACAUACCGGAUAACGUGGCCUAUCCCACUUGGCGGUGACGUGGCGGAUGGUCCCUUUGGAACCAUACCGGAUGGUCUAAGGUGCGGAAUCUUACUCUACUGUUUGUAUAGUAUGGGGUUCUUGAAAAUUAAUUUAGUAUCUCAAACAUAUAACUGCAUUAAGUUCGUUGGAAAACAGUUUGAAAACGGGGAAGUAAAACUCACAGUGUAUGUCGUAGUUUCACACAGGAUGUAAACAAGCAACUGAGUCAACUUCCAGAAUCACCUAUGCAAAUAUGGGCUUACGUCAGUAUCUAAGUCGGUAACAAGUAUAACUUGGAUUCUGUCAGGAGUUUUCACUGCAGAUUGAGCCUAUACAAUACUGGUAUGGUGAUGGAUGUCAGGGUAGUAUUAGUUUCAGUUUGGCUUCCGGGCACCGGCUCGCGUGUCAGCCAAUGUCAGUAGUUUAACAUGUUCGGACAAUGGUACGGGAAUACCAUUUUAAAAAAGAGCAACCGGCUCUGAUACCACUUGCGAAAUGGUACUGCGGUAAAUUACUACGGUAAAUUGGAUGACAAAUAAAUUACUAUCUGAAACCAUUAAAUCUUGUGCCCAAAAUUUGUCGUACACAAAUUUGUAGUAGACAAAAGUUAAGUACACCAUGUGCUAGUAAAUUGAAUUUAACAAUUUCAUUGCAAAGUUUGUCUACGGC